GACUUCCUGCCCCGCCAGAGCCAGGAAGCGGGAGCCGGGACCCAGGGCCCGGGAUCGCCGAGCCCGACCUCGGGCGCCCCGCCGGUCACCUCCGCGCGGACACCAGGUACUCGGUCCCCGGCCCCGCCCGGCCUCCUCCCCUCGGCUGUUGGGGGAAGUGGGGAGGAGGAGGGAGGGGCUGGGGCGCUGCCGGCAGCGGAGGGGCCCCCUUCGGACCCCACGGAACCAGCGGCCGCCCCUCCUUGGGCCUCAGUUUUCCCAUCUGUCAAAGGGAGCAAAGAGGGGAGAACUCACACUUGACGAGUGCCCCAUAGGUGGGGACGAACGGUGCGAGGCCGGGGCCAAGGCCUCCCACCUGCUCAGUGGAGAACGGACGAUCACUACCAUUGUACGGGUGGGGAAACCGAGGCCCGGGGAGCCAAACCGACUCGUCCCAGGGAACGCACAUCGUGAGAAAGUGUGGAGUUGGGAUUUGAACUCGCACGUGCUUUCCGCAAAGCGCCAUCCUCCAACCCCCGCAUGCUUUAGGGCCACCUAAAAAUGAAAAACAACAAUAACAACAACGACGAGGGUCGCUGUGAAGCUGAAAGUUGCAGAGUGCAUUUGAAAGAGUUUUCGGAAAGCUCUUUUCUAGGUCAUUAAUUAUACCGUGAGAGACAGGUGUAGGGAGAGAGCUGGAGGCCUUCUCCCAUUGUACGGAUGGGAAGACUGAGGUCUACAGAGAAGUCAUUACUUUUUGCAGAUUACACUGCAUGUCAGAGGGAAAGUUGUGCUGGAACUCAAGACUAUUGCUUUUCCGGUUCCAAAGGAAGGGGCUGGGGGUGGGAGACGGAGGGGAUUGAUGUACGAGGAUUGGAAAUUCAGCGGGUCCCCUAAGUGGGGAGACUAAUAGGACGGGGAGCCCCAGUCCGCCGUCCGAGUGCUCAGCGCUGGGGUGACUAGGAGAUCUCCGAUCGAACUCGGGAGGAGUUGGACCCAUCUGCACCUCCGGGCGCGGGGCGGGGCCCGGGGAGUGACGGGGGCAGUCGAGAUACGGAAACGCUGGCCCUCCAAGACAGGCCAGAGCGGCCCUAUCUGGCCUGCGUGGCGCAGUACAGCGCUAGAGCGGCCGGCGGGAGGAGUAGAGUCGUCGGGGCCGGAGCCCGGCAGGAGCCGGGCUAGAGCGGCUGGCAGGAGGAGUGGAGCUGGGCGCAAAGGUGGACUCAGGGCGGCUAGAGCGACGCGGCGGCAGGGGUGGGGAGAGUGCGGAGCCCGAGCGCGGAGGCUUCGGUUCCGGUGGCGGCGAUGGCUUCUCUUUCCACCUGGAGCAGCCCUGCAGAGCCCAGGGAGAUGGAAGACUUCGCCCGAGGGGCGGCCUCCCCAGGCCCCUCCCGGCCUGGCCUGGUUCCCGUCAGCAUCAUCGGGGCUGAGGAUGAGGAUUUUGAGAACGAGCUGGAGACAAACUCAGAAGAGCAAAACAGCCAGUUCCAGAGCCUGGAGCAGGUGAAGCGGCGCCCAGCCCACCUCAUGGCCCUCCUGCAGCACGUGGCCCUGCAGUUUGAGCCAGGACCCCUGCUUUGCUGUCUGCAUGCCGACAUGCUGGGCUCACUGGGCCCCAAGGAGGCCAAGAAGGCCUUCCUGGACUUCUACCACAGCUUCCUGGAGAAGACAGCGGUUCUCCGGGUGCCGGUCCCUCCCAACGUCGCCUUUGAACUUGACCGCACUAGGGCUGACCUCAUCUCCGAGGAUGUCCAGCGGCGGUUCGUGCAGGAGGUGGUGCAAAGCCAGCAGGUAGCCGUGGGCCGGCAGCUGGAGGACUUCCGUUCCAAGCGGCUCAUGGGCAUGACGCCCUGGGAGCAGGAGCUGGCCCAGCUGGAGGCUUGGGUUGGGCGGGACCGAGCCAGCUACGAGGCCCGGGAGCGGCACGUGGCGGAGCGGCUGCUCAUGCACCUGGAGGAGAUGCAACAUACCAUCUCUACCGACGAAGAAAAGAGUGCUGCCGUGGUCAACGCCAUUGGCCUGUACAUGCGCCACCUUGGGGUGCGGACCAAGAGUGGAGACAAGAAGUCGGGGAGGAACUUCUUCCGGAAAAAGGUGAUGGGGAACCGGCGGUCGGACGAGCCUGCCAAGACCAAGAAGGGGCUGAGCAGCAUCCUGGAUGCCGCCCGCUGGAACCGGGGAGAGCCCCAGGUUCCAGAUUUUCGACACCUCAAAGCAGAGGUUGAUGCCGAGAAGCCAGGUGCUACAGACCGGAAGGGAGGCGUGGGGAUGCCCUCUCGGGACCGGAAUAUCGGGGCUCCUGGGCAGGACACCCCUGGAGUCUCUCUGCACCCUCUGUCCCUGGACAGCCCAGACCGGGAACCAGGUGCUGACGCCCCCCUGGAGCUGGGGGACUCAUCCCCGCAGGGCCCAAUGAGCCUGGAGUCCUUGGCGCCCCCAGAGAGUACCGACGAGGGGGCCGAAACCGAGAGGCUAUCAGGGCGUCUGGGGCGCUCAGAGAGCCUGCGGGUGAGUGACCGCCGCCGGCCUUCCCGGGGCAGCCUCGGGGCUAAGGGCCGGGGUGGGGGCCGCUCCCGGAGCGACGUGGACAUGGACCCCAGUUCCGCCACGGCAGUGCUUGGCCCUGCCCGACGAGCCACCCCCGAGCCUGGAGAUGAGGGGGAGCCGGGGCGGUCGGGACUGGAGCUUGAACCAGAAGAGCCUCCCGGCUGGCGGGAACUCGUCCCCCCAGACACCCUGCACAGCCUGCCCAAGAGCCAGGUGAAGCGGCAGGAGGUCAUCAGCGAGCUGCUGGUGACAGAGGCGGCCCACGUGCGCAUGCUGCGGGUGCUGCACGACCUCUUCUUCCAGCCCAUGGCAGAAUGCCUGUUCUUCCCCUUGGAGGAGCUGCAGAACAUCUUCCCCAGCCUGGACGAGCUCAUCGAGGUGCAUUCCCUGUUCCUCGAUCGCCUGAUGAAGCGGAGGCAGGAGAGUGGCUACCUCAUCGAGGAGAUCGGAGACGUGCUGCUGGCCCGGUUUGAUGGUGCUGAGGGCUCCUGGUUCCAGAAAAUCUCCUCCCGCUUCUGCAGCCGCCAGUCAUUUGCCUUAGAGCAGCUCAAAGCCAAGCAACGCAAGGACCCUCGGUUCUGUGCCUUCGUGCAGGAAGCUGAGAGCCGCCCGCGGUGCCGCCGCCUGCAGCUGAAGGACAUGAUCCCCACGGAGAUGCAGCGGCUGACCAAGUACCCCCUGCUCCUGCAGAGCAUCGGGCAGAACACAGAAGAGCCCACAGAACGGGAGAAAGUGGAGCUGGCAGCCGAGUGCUGCCGGGAAAUUCUACACCACGUCAACCAAGCCGUGCGUGACAUGGAGGACCUGCUGAGGCUCAAGGACUAUCAGCGGCGCCUGGACUUGUCCCACCUUCGGCAGAGCAGCGACCCUAUGCUGAGCGAGUUCAAGAACCUGGACAUCACCAAGAAGAAAUUGGUCCACGAGGGCCCACUGACGUGGCGGGUGACUAAGGACAAGGCAGUGGAGGUGCAUGUGCUGCUGCUGGACGACCUGCUGCUGCUGCUCCAGCGCCAGGACGAGCGGCUGCUGCUCAAGUCCCAUAGCCGGACACUGACGCCCACGCCCGAUGGCAAGACCAUGCUGCGGCCCGUGCUGCGGCUCACCUCCGCCAUGACCCGCGAGGUGGCCACCGAUCACAAAGCCUUCUACGUCCUUUUUACCUGGGACCAGGAGGCCCAGAUAUACGAGCUGGUGGCACAGACUGUGUCGGAGCGGAAAAACUGGUGUGCUCUCAUCACUGAGACUGCCGGAUCCCUGAAAGUCCCUGCCCCUGCCUCUCGCCCUAAGCCCCGGCCCAGCCCGAGCAGCACCCGAGAACCCCUCCUCAGCAGCUCUGAGAACGGCAAUGGUGGCCGAGAGACGUCUCCAGCUGAUGCCCGGACCGAGAGAAUCCUCAGUGACCUCCUGCCCUUCUGCAGACCAGGCCCCGAGGGCCAGCUCGCUGCCACGGCCCUUCGGAAAGUGCUGUCCCUGAAGCAGCUUCUGUUUCCGGCGGAGGAAGACAAUGGGGCGGGGCCUCCUCGAGAUGGGGAUGGGGUCCCAGGGGGCGGCCCCCUGAGCCCAGCACGGACCCAGGAAAUCCAGGAGAACCUGCUCAGCUUGGAGGAGACCAUGAAGCAGCUGGAGGAGUUGGAGGAGGAAUUUUGCCGCCUGAGACCCCUCCUGUCUCAGCUUGGGGGGAACUCUGUCCCCCAGCCUGGCUGCACUUGAGGUUCCCGCCCAGGAAGCACCCCAUCCUCACCACCACCUGUGAGGUAGGAACUGCCAUGAUGGAUGCCCAUUUCACAGAUGUGGAAACUGAGGUUCUGACAGGAAAAGUAACUUGGCCAAAGUCCCACAGGGAUGAGGUCAGGCUCCGCCCCGCCAAGUCCCACACCACCUUCUCUGGGGAAAGGCAGCUCUCACCUGGGCAGCCCCUGGAGGCUUCUACCCCUAGAGGGGAAAAUAGGUCUCACGGCAAGACAGCAGUCCCCAGGUGGAUAUUCAGGGGCCAGGACAGCUCUGUCGGAUCUCACCAACCCCACCAGCGCCCAGGUGCUGAGACCGAGGUGCUGAGAGGCUAGAAGAGAACUUCAGCCCUGCCUGACAGAGAAGGUUCAGCCUCACUCCCGCUCACCACUCACUCAGGCAAGUCGCUAAACAUCCCCGAGCCUCAAGUUUCCUCAUCUGCAAAAUGGGACAAUAAUGACCUCCCUCCUAGAGUGGUUGGGAAGGUUAAACCGCAGGGCGCAUGGAGCACAGCUGGUACUGCACCAAGUACCAAGUAAACACGCAUUUGCUGUGAGCUUGCUGCUUCCGAAUAAUCUCAUUAAAAAUAUUAAGAAUUUUGCCAGA
This is an RNA transcript of Homo sapiens (human), 4860 nucleotides long. It is a transcript of the gene named Rho guanine nucleotide exchange factor 1, with no coding region annotated. The record is from RefSeq and is marked reviewed. The transcript has 31 exons. NCBI's taxonomy places the organism in Eukaryota, Metazoa, Chordata, Mammalia, Primates, Hominidae.